Long non-coding RNA from Daphnia magna, 1372 nucleotides. RefSeq lists it as uncharacterized. Lineage: Eukaryota; Metazoa; Arthropoda; Branchiopoda; Diplostraca; Daphniidae. The transcript has 3 exons. The record is from RefSeq and is a predicted model, not a curated record.
AGCGGACUAUCAACAAUAUUGAGACUGAUUUGAUUCUUCAAAAAUUCAAAUUCACAUUUCAUGUAUCGGCUGAAAAUCCAAAAAAUCGUGCGGAAGGAAUUCCGUAAUUUUCCAGCCUUGAAAGAACAAACUUAGUAAAUCCAUGUGCAGACCCAUCAGAAACAUCCGCUAGAUCGAGACCAAUCGAAUUUCAGUUUUUCUUUUUCAAGACACCAGUGGUCCACUACAAUAACCAUUUUAAGGACCAAUCAGACUACACUUUUUUUCCGGAUUCUGGAUUUUUUUUCGGAUUUUUUCUCCAAAUAGUCAGGAAUCCGGUCUCAGAAAUCUGCCUUUCAAAAUUAGAAUUGUUUCUAAAUUUUCCGGAGUCCAGAUUUUUUUACACGGAUUUAUGAGACCGGAUUUCUGUCCGACCAAUCAGAAUUUUUUAUUUUGACGCGUAUUAUUUCAUUUUAUCCUAGUAGCGCAACAAAAAACUAACUUUAAAAUUGCUUCAGUUUUGUUUUGACAUUUGUUAAGUGUUGUUAUGAGUGAAAAUUUUGAUAAGAAUGACCGAUGCCAAGGAAAGGUGUCCCAACAAGAUGCCCAAAAGGUUUGUGUUGUAUUUUUAGUCAUUAAAACUCAUUAAAAAAUAACUUGUCACUCAUUUUUAACUCUCUUUUAGUAGGAAUAGCGUUUUUAAGUGGUAAAAAGAAGGCACAUAACUGUUGAUUUAAGAAGUCGAACAGUAUCCAGUGCUGUACAAAACCACCAUGAAAGCCUACAAGAAAGGAGAUGUGCAAGCCAAGGCCCGGGUAUCUAUUGCAAAGCAAUUCGAAGGCUGCUCCCCGCUUGAUGUUAAAGAUCGUUGGACAUAUUUAAAAGACCAAUUCAAGAAGGCAUGUAAGGUAGCCAAUCAGGAUGAUCCAUCUGGUACUGGAACUGACGAUAGUAAGAAAUCCAAGAAGGUUUGGUGACAUUUCAAUAAGUUCAACCGAUGGUGCUGAAGGGUCGGGAAAAGAAGGUAAUGAGAACGAAGACAUGAUUUAAGAAAACCCACAGAACCGUCGUUCGCAAAAACGCAUUGAUUUAAUUGAGAAAGGACUUUUUUAUGAUGAUAGUAACAACUCAAUAUUAUUGAUUUGCCUGGUUUACAGUUAUUAACAAUUUAUUGUCAAUUAAAACAGAUAGUGAUGACAUUGACGAAGGUCUUCAAAAUAUUAUUGAUAACACGUCUUUCGAUCUACAUUCGGAUCUUAUUACAAUUUAUGAAGACGAUGGAAACACAAGCAAUUCAUCAAAGGAUUUGGAGACUAGUCGGAGUAGUGAGAAAAACUCGGAGAAGAAAAAUAAGUUUCAUUUGUUUAAAUCUCUAUGGACACCCAGACCAACU